AUUCCAUGAUGGGAACAUUCUAGGAUGUAGUCUUGGAAGCGCUCCCAUGCUUCUGGAACAGAUUCAUCAUGUUGUUGCUGAAAACUUGUAGUCUUCCCACGGAGAGC
Small nucleolar RNA from Sorghum bicolor (sorghum), 107 nucleotides. It matches the Rfam family "Plant small nucleolar RNA R71". Rfam says of the family: R71 is a member of the C/D box family of snoRNAs containing the C (UGAUGA) and D (CUGA) box motifs. Multiple nearly identical copies of this snoRNA have been identified in Arabidopsis, and it is thought to function as a 2'-O-ribose methylation guide for 18S ribosomal RNA. Lineage: Eukaryota; Viridiplantae; Streptophyta; Magnoliopsida; Poales; Poaceae. The record is from Rfam.